AAAGAAUAUUUGACUAGCUUAUUUCUAAACCUAAAAUCUUUCUCCCUUUCAUUUCUCUCUCUACUCUCACCUUUUCUCUUGGCCCUCUUUCCUUUCUCCACGCAGCUCUUUCACUUCUUCUCACACACAGAUCCAAGUUCCUUCUUCUUCGUGGAUCCAACUUCUUCUUCUAUCCGGUGCAUUCCUUCCUUCUUUUUCCUGUUGUUGUUGCUGCACUUUUUGUUGAAGGAUAUGUCCAGAAGAAGUCACUAACAACCUCAUAUUUCUCCACACGUCUACUUCAAUGAAUGUAGUUGUCAUAAUCCAAUAUCAUCAUCAACUGCACUUCAGUUCCAGAUCCUCUUAUUUUCUUUAA
This is a long non-coding RNA of Vigna angularis (adzuki bean), 355 nucleotides long. RefSeq lists it as uncharacterized. Lineage: Eukaryota; Viridiplantae; Streptophyta; Magnoliopsida; Fabales; Fabaceae. The record is from RefSeq and is a predicted model, not a curated record. The transcript has 2 exons.